Molecule: ribosomal RNA, 328 nt
Filed under: Escherichia coli
Lineage: Bacteria; Pseudomonadati; Pseudomonadota; Gammaproteobacteria; Enterobacterales; Enterobacteriaceae
Description: bacterial SSU rRNA
Rfam family: Bacterial small subunit ribosomal RNA
Source: RNAcentral
UUAAAUUGAAGAGUUUGAUCAUGGCUCAGAUUGAACGCUGGCGGCAGGCCUAACACAUGCAAGUCGAACGGUAACAGGAAGAAGCUUGCUUCUUUGCUGACGAGUGGCGGACGGGUGAGUAAUGUCUGGGAAACUGCCUGAUGGAGGGGGAUAACUACUGGAAACGGUAGCUAAUACCGCAUAACGUCGCAAGACCAAAGAGGGGGACCUUCGGGCCUCUUGCCAUCGGAUGUGCCCAGAUGGGAUUAGCUUGUUGGUGGGGUAACGGCUCACCAAGGCGACGAUCCCUAGCUGGUCUGAGAGGAUGACCAGCCACACUGGAACUGAG